UGGGGCGUGGCCAAGUGGUAAGGCUCCGGCCUUUGGAGCCGGCACCGCAGGUUCGAAUCCUGCCGCCCCAA
This 71-nucleotide transfer RNA is filed under the name Chloroflexota bacterium. Its description in RNAcentral is "Chloroflexi bacterium tRNA-Gln". It matches the Rfam family "tRNA". Rfam says of the family: Transfer RNA (tRNA) molecules are approximately 80 nucleotides in length. Lineage: Bacteria; Bacillati; Chloroflexota. The record is from RNAcentral. RNAcentral also lists the same sequence under 2 other names.